CAAUAGCGUAUAUUAAAGUUGUUGCAGUUAAAAAGCUCGUAGUUGGAUUUCAAGAAACGCAUCCAGAAAUGGAUUGCUUUCUACCAGUCUUUGACUGUUACUGUGAGAAAAUUAGAGUGUUUCAAGCAGGCUUUGCAGGAAUACAUUAGCAUGGAAUAACGCGUGUGUCUACAAUUUGGUUGAUUGUAGAUUACGAUUAAUAGGGACAGUUGGGGGCAUUAGUAUUUAAUAGUCAGAGGUGAAAUUCUUGGAUUUGUUAAAGACUAACGUAUGCGAAAGCAUUUGCCAAGGAUGUUUUCAUUAA
RNAcentral lists this ribosomal RNA (304 nucleotides) under uncultured eukaryote. RNAcentral describes it as "partial 18S ribosomal RNA". It matches the Rfam family "Eukaryotic small subunit ribosomal RNA", at positions 592 to 976 of the family's 1831-position model. The record is from RNAcentral.